UAAUAACAACAAAGCUCAGUGGAAGCAUUGUAUGCUUUCUUUGGGACAAGAAAGAAGAGAAAAGCAACCUAGAUCAUGGGAAAUUCUGUGGAAGAAAACUGUCAACCUCCAUUAAAGUGAUGGAAUAUGAAUAUGGAAGGAUACAGAGCACAUCCAAAAAGAGAGUAACAUUGUAGGUGCUAAAUUGAUACUUGUUGAUUGAUUGAAGCAAGAAGAGACACUUAUAGCUUAAACCAGAAAAGAACAGAAGAAAAACCUGGAAAGCAGAUACUUAGAAGAAUCAUGACAUAGAGCAUUGAAGUGAAAGAGUAUUAAAGGCACAAUAAAAGCUGCACGCAAGAAAAGGAGUCCCUCUGAAGAACUGCAGUGGUGGCAGCAGCCUGGGAGGUGAUGAGGUGAAAGCUACAAACAAUGUUGGGUUCCACUCCAGCUGUUCCAUCUGCUGA
Phascolarctos cinereus (koala) is the source of this 446-nucleotide non-coding RNA. Lineage: Eukaryota; Metazoa; Chordata; Mammalia; Diprotodontia; Phascolarctidae. The record is from RefSeq and is a predicted model, not a curated record.